Molecule: non-coding RNA, 24 nt
Filed under: Arabidopsis thaliana (thale cress)
Lineage: Eukaryota; Viridiplantae; Streptophyta; Magnoliopsida; Brassicales; Brassicaceae
Source: RNAcentral
GCCGCCGCAGUCGAGUCCCUACCU